ACAGUAACUCGUGCAGGGCGUGGAACAAAGUUCUAGUCCAAACUCCAGUCGUGGUGGCUGCCCUCCCGCAGUUUUCUCUUCGCCGUCGCCUUCCAGACAAAGCCGCGCUGUGCGCUCCUGGGACCGCCCGAGGCGCCGGAGGAACCCAGCCCUGAGGAUGGAGCCAGGGGCUGCUAGAGAGCUGAGUUUCCUUCUCACGACCCGACCCGAGGGUGAAAGCACCCCAAACCAGGCACGGAAGAGUGUACAGUUAGAAAUUAAUGCGUCUUGCUGGACAGUGAAAGAUGAAGGAAGACAAGUGGUGUUAGAGAGGUGUUAGCUAAUUAUUUUCAUCUCUAUAAAAACACAAUGAUGUAAAUAGAGCAGGCUCGAUUUCCAAGGUACAGUUCCGCAGCAACCUCAA
Molecule: long non-coding RNA, 403 nt
Filed under: Ictidomys tridecemlineatus (thirteen-lined ground squirrel)
Lineage: Eukaryota; Metazoa; Chordata; Mammalia; Rodentia; Sciuridae
Description: lncRNA (ENSSTOG00000033269.1)
Source: RNAcentral